This 496-nucleotide ribosomal RNA is filed under the name uncultured soil bacterium. Its description in RNAcentral is "bacterial SSU rRNA". It matches the Rfam family "Bacterial small subunit ribosomal RNA", at positions 26 to 517 of the family's 1533-position model. The record is from RNAcentral.
AGAUUGAACGCUGGCGGAAUGCUUUACACAUGCAAGUCGAGCGGCAGCGCGGGGCAACCUGGCGGCGAGCGGCGAACGGGUGAGUAAUGCAUCGGAACAUGUCCAUGUCGUGGGGGAUAGCCCGGCGAAAGCCGGAUUAAUACCGCAUACGCCCGAGAGGGGAAAGCCGGGGACCGCAAGGCCUGGCGCGAUUGGGUUGGCCGAUGUCCGAUUAGCUAGUUGGCGGGGUAAUGGCCCACCAAGGCGAUGAUCGGUAGCUGGUCUGAGAGGAUGAUCAGCCACACUGGGACUGAGACACGGCCCAGACUCCUACGGGAGGCAGCAGUGGGGAAUUUUGGACAAUGGGGGCAACCCUGAUCCAGCCAUUCCGCGUGAGUGAAGAAGGCCUUCGAGUUGUAAAGACUCUUUGUCCGGAACGAAACGGUAAGCGUGAAUAUCGCUGCCUACUGACGGUACCGGAAGAAUAAGACACCGGCUAACUACGUGCCAGCAGCCG